UGUGCUCUUCCGAUCUCUAGAAACAAUGUUAAGGAUUUGGCUCCAAAAAUCCAUAUAUGGUUAACGAAAUAUAUGGUGUGCUAAGAGAAGUUAGAAAGGAGAAAAGUGAUAAUGUGAGAAACGAAACUGUUCCUGCUUAGGCAGAUGUGGCUAGAACACAUUCGAGUAAGCAAAUUCUGCAAAUUAAAACAUCUAAACUGAUAAUGCAAGCUAAAAUUGACAUACAGGAAAAAAGAAUAAAUAAUGGAAAAAGAACAGACAGUUAUAAUUAAGCCAAUCUGUAAUGAAGAGGAAGAAUUGAAUGAAGUCAUAAAAGCAAUUAAUACAGAAAUUAAAUCCAAUAUAAAGCCGACUAAUUUGGGACUACAAAUUAAUGGUUACUUCAUUAACAAGAGCAACCUAUAUAUAAAGGUAAUGAAUGACAAGUUAAUCAAAACAAUUGAAAGAGGCAAUUGAAAAAGGCUCUGAAAAGAGAGUGGAGAUUAAGAUAUCAGCAAAAAAACAGCCAAAAAUAAUUCUGUUUAAUGCACCUUGUGCGGUUAGAGAAGAUGAACUUUUAGAGCAUAUUUAUAAUCAGAACAUGAAUAUAAAUAAAGAGGACUUUAUGAAUGAAGUUAAAAUUGUUACUGCUUUUAAGACAAAUAAAACUAUUUG
RNAcentral lists this long non-coding RNA (654 nucleotides) under Androctonus crassicauda. The record is from RNAcentral. Lineage: Eukaryota; Metazoa; Arthropoda; Arachnida; Scorpiones; Buthidae.